GAUGAACGCUGGCGGCGUGCCUAAUACAUGCCAGUCGAGCGAACGGACGAGAAGCUUGCUUCUCUGAUGUUAGCGGCGGACGGGUGAGUAACACGUGGAUAACCUACCUAUAAGACUGGGAUAACUUCGGGAAACCGGAGCUAAUACCGGAUAAUAUUUUGAACCGCAUGGUUCAAAAGUGAAAGGCGGUCUUGCUGUCACUUAUAGAUGGAUCCGCGCUGCAUUAGCUAGUUGGUAAGGUAACGGCUUACCAAGGCAACGAUGCAUAGCCGACCUGAGAGGGUGAUCGGCCACACUAGAACUGAGACACGGUCCAGACUCCUACGGGAGGCAGCAGUAGGGAAUCUUCCGCAAUGGGCGAAAGCCUGACGGAGCAACGCCGCGUGAGUGAUGAAGGUCUUCGGAUCGUAAAACUCUGUUAUUAGGGAAGAACAUAUGUGUAAGUAACUGUGCACAUCUUGACGGUACCUAAUCAGAAAGCCACGGCUAACUACGUG
This 497-nucleotide ribosomal RNA is filed under the name uncultured bacterium. RNAcentral's name for it is "partial 16S ribosomal RNA". It matches the Rfam family "Bacterial small subunit ribosomal RNA", at positions 28 to 507 of the family's 1533-position model. The record is from RNAcentral.